This 298-nucleotide long non-coding RNA is filed under the name Elaeis guineensis (African oil palm). RNAcentral's name for it is "long non-coding RNA (EGUI_LNC022413)". The record is from RNAcentral. Lineage: Eukaryota; Viridiplantae; Streptophyta; Magnoliopsida; Arecales; Arecaceae.
CUACUCUCACAAAAGCUCUCAUAAAAUCUCCCAAAGAGACCCUCUCACAAGCUUGCCAGUACCAGAGUCCUUGAUGCCUCUGAACACUUCUUGUGGAGCAAACCGUUACAUCAUGCCUCUUCACAGCUGCUUUGUCUGAUGCUCUGCUCUGCCUACAUCUGAUCUACCGAUUGCACACUCUCGAUGCUCAUCGGACAUUCUCCCGACGGCUGCCCAGGCCUCUCUCUCAGCUUCUCUGUUCUCUAUCGAUUGCCACAGGUACCCUGUCGCCCACAGGGCCUUUAAAAUCUACAAUCCG